RNAcentral lists this long non-coding RNA (1867 nucleotides) under Sus scrofa (pig). RNAcentral describes it as "lncRNA (ENSSSCG00060004895.1)". Lineage: Eukaryota; Metazoa; Chordata; Mammalia; Artiodactyla; Suidae. The record is from RNAcentral.
UCAUGCUGAGAAACCUCUUAUUUGAAGUCCUGCAUCCGAGUUGGAAGCCAAGGCUGCUGCUUUGUGUCAAAGUGCCUCCCAGAUCCUCCAGAUAAAAUAGGGUGUUUCAUUCUUACUGAAAUAACCUCAAAGGACAAAUUUCUGAUAGUUUGAUUUUUAAAGAACAGAGUUUCUUGCUGAGUAAGAAAGCAGCAAUCACGCAAAGGGGCCUGUCAGGACAGUCUGUGGCUGCAGUGUGUCCACGGAGAAAGUUGACUUUGUAGCUGGCUUUAUCUCAGUCUCUUUAUCCAGCUAAAGACAGGGUAGGGCAGAUUUUUAUAUUCUUAGUCUAAGCUAAUUUUUACUCCCUCGGGCUCAACUGAAAUAUUUAAGGAUUAAAUCCUAAGAAAAGCUUUGCUAUUCCGACAGUGAAAAUGUACUGUUGCCUUGUUUGCAAAGCAGCUCACAUACAGACACUGGUGAUUUUGUGGUUGCCUUGAUUUUCCACGUAAGAAUUUACUGUUUCAGGAUAUGGGUUUCAAGAUACUCCAAAUUCCCUAUGGCAAGAGGAGGAUGUAACUUAAAGUCUUACCAUCAGUUUACUUGCUUAUAGUUCAUAAUUUUUAACUAUGUGUUUAUGUCCUUAAAUGUAUGUUUUCAGAUAAGAUAAACUUAAUAAAAAUAUCAUGGCUAAUGAAUUAAAAAAAUGUUCUAAACUUACAGUUGAUAGGAAACAACUUGUAUGAUGUCUUUAAGUCAUGAAGUCAUGACUUGAGAGUUCUGUAGACUCUGACCUUGCAUGGGAGUUUUCACAUCUAAGCACAGAUGUUCUUGAGAAGGUGCACAGGGUACUCAAAUUCUCAACAUGGCUUUUUACCCAGAAAGGGUUUGGACUCACUCUCUCUCUUUAGAGACUCAUAUAUCAGAUGCACUGAUUCAAACCGGUUCUAGAAUAUAAAUUACUUAUGCUAUUUAUAUAAUUUAUAUUGAAUAAUUAGCUACAUUUAAAUCUAUAAAAUAUUUUGAUAAAAGAAGGGACUACUUAAAAUUCAAAGAAAAAUUUGAAGCAGGAGAGUUCCAGCCUUCAAGAACAACUGAAAAGUCUUAAGCUAUUCCUGAACGUUUCAGAAAGGUUGAAUUAAUUUUUUUGGACAUUCAGAAAUGCUCUAUGGGACAACAGUAAUUUGAAUAAUGGCAAACACCAGUGCUUGUUCCAUCUAUACAGCUCUUAAUUAAAGUGAUCAAGUAACAAGAUUCCAUUAUUCAAAGUAUGAAGAAUUGAAAUAAAAUGAUAUGAAAUAUGCUAAGUAUAGUAAAAAAUAUUUUAAGAGAAAAAUUAAAGCUUAUAAAAACAUGUGUACUUUUGUUGUUGUUGGAGGAUGGGCAGUAGGCAAAUACUGUCUAGAUACAGAUAUGCACUGGAAAAGUAGGCUUGCCAUUGUCCUGGGAGUUAGUAUUUUAAUACAGGCACAAAAAGAUGAGGAAUGGAAGAAGGUUCAACUUCAACAGGUAAAAUAACAAAGACCAUAUACAAAAAACCCUACAACUGAUAUAGUUAAUGAUAAGACAGUGACUCCUUUUCCCCUAAAAUCAGUAACAAGGUAAGGAUGUCCUCAUCUCCAUUCAACACUGUGCUGGAUUCCUAACUACUUCAACAAGACAAAAAAAGAAAAAAGUGUAGGAUUGCAAACAAAUGGAACCGGCUCUAUUCACGGAUGAUAUUAUUAUCUCUGUAGAAAAUCCCCAAGAUUUGACAAAAAACCACCCAGAAUUAAUAAGUGAAUCUUAGAUGGUGGCAGGAAACAAGCUCAGUAUAUAAAAGAAUAUCAUUUUUGUGUAUACCAGCAAUGAACAACCAGAAUUUAAAAUAUACCGGUUACAAUAGCAC